RNAcentral lists this transfer RNA (85 nucleotides) under compost metagenome. RNAcentral's name for it is "tRNA-Leu". The record is from RNAcentral.
GGCCCCGUGGCGAAAUUGGAAUCCGCAGGAGAUUUAAGUCCUCCCGUCGUAAGGCAUACCGGUUCGAGUCCGGUCGGGGCUACCA